AUGGCUCAGGAUGAACGCUAGCUACAGGCUAACACAUGCAAGUCGAGGGGUAGCAGGGUAGCAAUACCGCUGACGACCGGCGCACGGGUGAGUAACACGUAUCCAACCUUCCCAUAACUCAGGGAUAGCCUUUCGAAAGAAAGAUUAAUACCUGAUAGUACUUUUUCAAGGCAUCUUGAGAAAGUUAAAGAUUUAUUGGUUAUGGAUGGGGAUGCGUUCCAUUAGAUAGUUGGUGAGGUAACGGCUCACCAAGUCUUCGAUGGAUAGGGGUUCUGAGAGGAAGGUCCCCCACAUUGGUACUGAGACACGGACCAAACUCCUACGGGAGGCAGCAGUGAGGAAUAUUGGUCAAUGGGCGAGAGCCUGAACCAGCCAAGUAGCGUGAAGGAUGAAGGUCCUAUGGAUUGUAAACUUCUUUUAUAGUAGAAUAAAGUGAUCCACGUGUGGAUUUUUGUAUGUAUACUAUGAAUAAGGAUCGGCUAACUCCGUGCCAGCCGCUGC
This 501-nucleotide ribosomal RNA is filed under the name uncultured bacterium. Its description in RNAcentral is "bacterial SSU rRNA". It matches the Rfam family "Bacterial small subunit ribosomal RNA", at positions 19 to 518 of the family's 1533-position model. The record is from RNAcentral.